UACGUAGGGGGCGAGCGUUGUCCGGAGUUACUGGGCGUAAAGCGCCCGCAGGCGGUCGGUCGCGUUUGAGGUAACAGCUCCUGGCUUCACUGGGAGAGCGUCUCAAAAACGGGCUGACUUGAGGACCAGAGAGGGACACGGAAUUCCGGGUGUAGUGGUGAAAUGCGUAGAUAUCCGGAGGAACACCGAAGGCGCAGGCAGUGUCCUGGCUGGUACCUGACGCUCAGGGGCGAAAGCUAGGGGAGCGAACGGG
This 253-nucleotide ribosomal RNA is filed under the name uncultured prokaryote. RNAcentral describes it as "partial 16S ribosomal RNA". It matches the Rfam family "Bacterial small subunit ribosomal RNA", at positions 524 to 776 of the family's 1533-position model. The record is from RNAcentral.